UCCUUUACGGAGCCCUCCCAGCAGUUAGCAGUAAGCACUGACCCUCUCGUGGUGGAAUUCCAAACACCUGUUACCCCAAGCAGCUUGGUGUCAUGGGAAGUGACUGAACUGACUCUGCCAUGAGCUUGCAGAGGGCUCCUCAGGCCAGAACCUUGGGCAGGGCUCGGAACAUUUCUGGACCCAGCUUUCUCCAAAUGUAAAACAAAAGGCUUGAACUCAAUGACCCCUGAAGAAGGGCUUGCAAGGACACAGCCAGCCACUCAGUUAAGAUGGUAAUGAAGCAGCUGUGAAACAAGAGGCCUUUCCAUCUGGGAUCCCAGCUGACCUGACUCCUGCCUAAGCUACUAGAAAACUUUCAAUUAUGAGGCUUACAUUUCUGUUGUACAACACUGCUCUAGAGGAUGAGACAGAAAACAAACUAAUAAGCAAACAAAAAGUUACAAGCAAACAAAAAUGUAAGAAGAUUACAUGUGAUGAAAAGCCCUGGGAAGGAAACCAGCAGGAUGAGAUGCAGGACUGGAGAUGAGGAGCGAGGUCUCUUCAAAUAAAGACAUAUGAGCUGGCACAGUGGCUCACACCUGUAAUCCCAGCACUUUGGGAGGCUGAGGCGGGGGGAUCACUUGAGCCCAGAAGUUUGAGACUAACCUGGGCAAAUGGCGAGACCCCAUCUCUACAAAAAAUUUAAAAAUUAUCCAGGUGUGGUGGCAUGCACCUGUAGUCCCAGUUACUUAGGAGGCUGAAGUGGAAGGAUCACUUUAGCCUGGGUGUAAGUUACAUAUAGUCAACUGCACAAAUCUGAACUGCACCUCAGGAGUGUUCCAUGCCGCUCCCAGUCACUAUGGCUGUGGUGGUGCAUUAGCUACCUAUUGCUUCAAACAACACACGUUGAUCAUCUCACAGUGGCUGUGGCUCGGGAGUCUGGGCACAGUUGAAUGGGUCUUGUCUUCAGGGUCUCAUCAGGCUGCAGUCAACAGACACACACACGCACAUACGCACACUCCCCACUUCUCAUUUCACUCCGGGAGGUUCUAAACACCAG
This 1039-nucleotide long non-coding RNA is filed under the name Homo sapiens (human). RNAcentral describes it as "HSALNT0156128". Lineage: Eukaryota; Metazoa; Chordata; Mammalia; Primates; Hominidae. The record is from RNAcentral.